RNAcentral lists this unclassified non-coding RNA (343 nucleotides) under soil metagenome. Its description in RNAcentral is "partial contains 5.8S ribosomal RNA, internal transcribed spacer 2, and large subunit ribosomal RNA". The stretch from base 1 to 120 matches the Rfam family "5.8S ribosomal RNA", at positions 35 to 154 of the family's 154-position model. The record is from RNAcentral.
GAUGAAGAACGUAGUGAAAUGCGAUAAGUAAUGUGAAUUGCAGAAUCCUGUGAAUCAUCGAAUCUUUGAACGCACAUUGCGCCCGCCAGCAUUCUGGCGGGCAUGCCUGUUCGAGCGUCAUUUCAACCCUCGACCUCCCCUUGGGGAGGUCGGCGUUGGGGACCGGCAGCACACCGCCGGCCCUGAAAUGGAGUGGCGGCCCGUCUGCGGCGACCUCUGCGUAGUAAUACAGCUCGCACCGGAACCCCGACGCGGCCACGCCGUAAAACACCCAACUUCUGAACGUUGACCUCGAAUCAGGUAGGACUACCCGCUGAACUUAAGCAUAUCAAUAAGCGGAGGA